GGCAGUUAGAAAAUAUUUUCAUCACAUAGAACAACAGAUGGGCUGUAGAAAUUGAUCUGAAAGGAGCCAGGAUUUAGUGGUAUUUCAGGGGCUGCCAGGCCCCUGAAAUUUUCCAAAUUUCUUCUGACACCAUAGAACCUCAGUCUACCCCAGGUGCCAAAAAUCCCGUUGCUAUGAUAGGCUGAAGGGUUUCUUAAGUAGGAGCUUGGCCAGUACAAACUUUUUAAAGAUCGCUGUGUUGAAUAACUUCCCUUACAAUCAAUCAACCAUCAACAAGAACGAACAUCCCCCAUGUCAUUGGUUCCAGGAAAUCCAGGAAUUUUUUUUUAAAGGCAAAAGCUCUGACCUACUGAUCUGGCUGAUCAAGCUCUUGCUCUAGAUCCUCUAACAUAAUCACUGCCUGUUCCCCACUCUUUGGAUGGUGUUCCCGCAACCAGGCUUGUAAUUCUUC
RNAcentral lists this long non-coding RNA (451 nucleotides) under Monodelphis domestica (gray short-tailed opossum). Its description in RNAcentral is "lncRNA (ENSMODG00000039192.1)". The record is from RNAcentral. Lineage: Eukaryota; Metazoa; Chordata; Mammalia; Didelphimorphia; Didelphidae.